Molecule: ribosomal RNA, 430 nt
Filed under: uncultured Syntrophus sp.
Lineage: Bacteria; Pseudomonadati; Thermodesulfobacteriota; Syntrophia; Syntrophales; Syntrophaceae
Description: bacterial SSU rRNA
Rfam family: Bacterial small subunit ribosomal RNA
Source: RNAcentral
UGAGGAAUCUUGCGCAAUGGGGGAAACCCUGACGCAGCAACGCCGCGUGAGUGAGGAAGGUUUUCGGAUCGUAAAGCUCUGUCAGGUGGGAAGAAAUGUAUAGGGGUGAACAGCCUUUAUACUUGACGGUACCACCAGAGGAAGCACCGGCCAACUCCGUGCCAGCAGCCGCGGUAAUACGGGGGGUGCAAGCGUUGUUCGGAAUCAUUGGGCGUAAAGAGCGUGUAGGCGGCCGGAUAAGUCAGAUGUGAAAGCCCUGGGCUCAACCUGGGAAGUGCAUUUGAAACUGUCCUGCUAGAGUAAGGGAGAGGGAAGUGGAAUUCCUGGUGUAGAGGUGAAAUUCGUAGAUAUCAGGAGGAACACCGGUGGCGAAGGCGACUUCCUGGCCCUAUACUGACGCUGAGACGCGAGAGCGUGGGGAGCAAACAGG